RNAcentral lists this ribosomal RNA (484 nucleotides) under uncultured bacterium. Its description in RNAcentral is "partial 16S ribosomal RNA". It matches the Rfam family "Bacterial small subunit ribosomal RNA", at positions 30 to 507 of the family's 1533-position model. The record is from RNAcentral.
AUUGAACGCUGGCGGCAGGCCUAACACAUGCAAGUCGAGCGGAUGAAGGGAGCUUGCUCCUGGAUUCAGCGGCGGACGGGUGAGUAAUGCCUAGGAAUCUGCCUGGUAGUUGGGGAUAACGUCCGGAAACGGGCGCUAAUACCGCAUACGUCCUGAGGGAGAAAGUGGGGGAUCUUCGGACCUCACGCUAUCAGAUGAGCCUAGGUCGGAUUAGCUAGUUGGUGGGGUAAAGGCCUACCAAGGCGACGAUCCGUAACUGGUCUGAGAGGAUGAUCAGUCACACUGGAACUGAGACACGGUCCAGACUCCUACGGGAGGCAGCAGUGGGGAAUAUUGGACAAUGGGCGAAAGCCUGAUCCAGCCAUGCCGCGUGUGUGAAGAAGGUCUUCGGAUUGUAAAGCACUUUAAGUUGGGAGGAAGGGCAGUAAGUUAAUACCUUGCUGUUUUGACGUUACCAACAGAAUAAGAACCGGCUAACUUCGUG